CAAACUAAAGAUGGCGACCGGCGCACGGGUGAGUAACACGUAUCCAACCUGCCGAUAACUCGGGGAUAGCCUUUCGAAAGAAAGAUUAAUAUCCGAUAGUAUAUUAGAACCGCAUGGUUUUACUAUUAAAGAAUUUCGGUUAUCGAUGGGGAUGCGUUCCAUUAGUUUGUUGGCGGGGUAACGGCCCACCAAGACUACGAUGGAUAGGGGUUCUGAGAGGAAGGUCCCCCACAUUGGAACUGAGACACGGUCCAA
RNAcentral lists this ribosomal RNA (255 nucleotides) under uncultured bacterium. RNAcentral's name for it is "partial 16S ribosomal RNA". It matches the Rfam family "Bacterial small subunit ribosomal RNA", at positions 74 to 334 of the family's 1533-position model. The record is from RNAcentral.